Molecule: ribosomal RNA, 543 nt
Filed under: uncultured Caryophanales bacterium
Lineage: Bacteria; Bacillati; Bacillota; Bacilli; Caryophanales
Description: bacterial SSU rRNA
Rfam family: Bacterial small subunit ribosomal RNA
Source: RNAcentral
AGAGUUUGAUCCUGGCUCAGGACGAACGCUGGCGGCGUGCCUAAUACAUGCAAGUCGAGCGAAGAGGAGAGAGCUUGCUCUCGUAAUCUUAGCGGCGGACGGGUGAGUAACACGUAGGCAACCUGCCUGUAAGCCUGGGAUAACUCCGGGAAACCGGAGCUAAUACCAGAUAAUCCGUUAGACCGCAUGGUCUAACGAUAAAAGGAUGCGAUUCCACUUACAGAUGGACCUGCGGCGCAUUAGCUUGUUGGUGAGGUAACGGCUCACCAAGGCAACGAUGCGUAGCCGACCUGAGAGGGUGACCGGCCACACUGGGACUGAGACACGGCCCAGACUCCUACGGGAGGCAGCAGUAGGGAAUCUUCGGCAAUGGACGAAAGUCUGACCGAGCAACGCCGCGUGAGUGAUGAAGGUUUUCGGAUUGUAAAACUCUGUUGUCAGGGAAGAACAAACGAGAUGAGAUCUCGUCUUGACGGUACCUGACGAGAAAGCCCCGGCUAACUACGUGCCAGCAGCCGCGGUAAUACGUAGGGGGCAAGCGUU